AAUAGCAUAUCAUAGCGGAGGAAAAGAAACCAACAGGGAUUGCCUCAGUAACGGCGAGUGAAGCGGCAACAGCUCAAAUUUGAAAUCUGGCUCUUUCAGGGUCCGAGUUGUAAUUUGUAGAGGAUGUUUCGGGUGUGGCUCCGGUCUAAGUUCCUUGGAACAGGACGUCAUAGAGGGUGAGAAUCCCGUAUGUGACUGGUAGCCUAUGCCCAUGUGAAACUCCUUCGACGAGUCGAGUUGUUUGGGAAUGCAGCUCAAAAUGGGUGGUAAAUUUCAUCUAAAGCUAAAUAUUGGCCAGAGACCGAUAGCGCACAAGUAGAGUGAUCGAAAGAUGAAAAGCACUUUGGAAAGAGAGUUAAACAGUACGUGAAAUUGUUGAAAGGGAAGCGCUUGCAACCAGACUUGCAUGUAGCUGAUCAACCGGUGUUCUCACCGGUGCACUCAGUUGCGUUCAGGCCAGCAUCGGUUUCGACGGUUGGAUAAAGGCCUUGGGAAUGUAGCUCCUUUCGGGGAGUGUUAUAGCCCAGGGUGCAAUGCAGCCUGUCGGGACCGAGGACCGCGCUUCGGCUAGGAUGCUGGCGUAAUGGUUGUAAGCGACCCGUCUUGAAACACGGACCAAGGAGUCUAACAUCUAUGCGAGUGUUUGGGUGUCAAACCCAUACGCGUAAUGAAAGUGAACGGAGGUGAGAACCCUUAAGGGUGCAUCAUCGACCGAUCCUGAUGUCUUCGGAUGGAUUUGAGUAAGAGCAUAGCUGUUGGGACCCGAAAGAUGGUGAACUAUGCCUGAAUAGGGUGAAGCCAGAGGAAACUCUGGUGGAGGCUCGCAGCGGUUCUGACGUGCAAAUCGAUCGUCAAAUUUGGGUAUAGGGGCGAAAGACUAAUCGAACCAUCUAGUAGCUGUUCCUGCCGAG
RNAcentral lists this ribosomal RNA (911 nucleotides) under Phacidium lacerum. RNAcentral describes it as "LSU rRNA". It matches the Rfam family "Eukaryotic large subunit ribosomal RNA", at positions 31 to 965 of the family's 3401-position model. The record is from RNAcentral. Lineage: Eukaryota; Fungi; Ascomycota; Leotiomycetes; Phacidiales; Phacidiaceae.